AUUGAACGCUGGCGGAAUCCUUUACACAUGCAAGUCGAGCGGCAGCGCGGGGGCAACCUGGCGGCGAGCGGCGAACGGGUGAGUAAUACAUCGGAACGUGCCCAGACGUGGGGGAUAACUACUCGAAAGAGUGGCUAAUACCGCAUACGAUCUACGGAUGAAAGCGGGGAUCGCAAGACCUCGCGCGUCUGGAGCGGCUGAUGGCAGAUUAGGUAGUUGGUGGGAUAAAAGCCUACCAAGCCAACGAUCUGUAGCUGGUCUGAGAGGAUGAUCAGCCACACUGGGACUGAGACACGGCCCAGACUCCUACGGGAGGCAGCAGUGGGAAUUUUGGACAAUGGGCGAAAGCCUGAUCAGCCAUUCCGCGUGCAGGAUGAAGGCCCUCGGGUUGUAAACUGCUUUGUAC
RNAcentral lists this ribosomal RNA (406 nucleotides) under uncultured bacterium. Its description in RNAcentral is "bacterial SSU rRNA". It matches the Rfam family "Bacterial small subunit ribosomal RNA", at positions 30 to 440 of the family's 1533-position model. The record is from RNAcentral.